UAAAAAAUGCUAGAUGAGAAACCAUUAAUAGAAGAUCAUAAUUAAAGAUAAUGUUUUUGGUAGCUGUACUUUUCCUUCCAGAGUCUUGAUGCUUUGCUGAGCCUGGACCUCAGUGUCUUUUUUAACACUUGCGUGACUGGUAAUUUCUCAGAAAGAUUGUCUCUGAAUCUUCCUUUAAAAUCCUUGGCAUGUGGGAUGGUUACUCCCCUCUGAAUGCUUGCUGUAUCAAGACUGUCAACUGAAGGGAAAGGGGUGUUCAAAGUAAAGAUUUCUUCUUGCCUGUGGCUGAAAUCGCAGGGGUACAGGAUGCCAUUUCCACAAGUCAAGUUCAAUUGGUGUGUCCCUUCCCUGCUGUAUUCCCAGCAUAAGCGUAGGCACCGCAGUGACAAGGAAAGAGCGCUCACCCCGUUAGCAUCACCCACAAGGCUUGUUCUGUUUCAGUGAAGCUCAGACCUGCUGUCAGCACCGUUGAUGUAAAUCUCUUCCACCUGACUCCUUGGACUAGCCAAGAUCUUGUUUACUGACAGACCACAGUCCGUAUUUGUCUUGGAAUUGCAGUUCGAUCUGUCAAAAAAAGAAAAACCCAAGGAGGCCAAGUGCUGGUUUUGGAUGACCUGAGUCCCCUUGAUCUUCUGUGUCAAUGGGGAGAGCCUGGAGCCACUGGAGGGUGCUGGGCACGAAGAAAUGGGCAGGAUAUAAACUGAAUAUGGUCUGCAGCUGUACUGCAGAAGUAAGAGGAGUGUGAGGACCUGUUUGGCUCUCAAGGGGGUGUUGACAUUGUUACUCCCUGAUAAUGAACUAUGGGUGAGCAAAGCCUUUCCUUACCUGUGCCUGUGGAGCCUGGCUGGUUUCUUCAUGUAGGCUCAGUCCCUGGGUGUCCCAGGAAAGUAUCACACAUUUCCCUUGUUUAAUCACCCAAAAUCCUGGGUGUUUACUGGACUGCAGAGCUGAUUUCUUAGAUGACUGGAGAAGUGGUUCUCCAAGGGUAAGUAAUGGUUUCUUCCUCUUCUCCCCAUCCCCUUGUCAAGUAUUUGGGAAGGACAUGAAGUAUGGUCUUAUACAGAGCUUUUUUUCUUUUCUUUUUUUUUUAAUGUCAACAGGACUUGGUUAACAAUAACCUGAAAUUAAAUACUCAGUAUUGAGCAGGUUUUGGUGUGGGCUCUGUGUAUGCCCAGCUGUUCAGAAAGAGAAAUUACAUCUGAUGUGUCUCCCUUAGGCUAGAGCUUGUGCCUGUGGUCAAACCUUCCAAGGAUUUUGAGUUGCUGAAGGAUCGUUGUGAGUGGUGAUGCCAUAGAACAAGAGCUGAUCAAUGAAAUCCUGUGUGAAGAUGAAUAAAAGCAAAAUGUUUCAGAAAUAUCUCUUGUUCAGGGAGAAUAAUCUGUGUAUAAUCUCUGCUAUGGUUUAUUUUUGAAUAUAGUAGUUCGUAGUCAGUUUGAUGUGCUUGGUAGGUGUUGUCGUGACAGGUUUCUAAAGGAACUGUCUGGUUUGAUGCAUCAGUUGUCAGAGCCCUAGACGAGGAUGAUCCAUCCCUUUCCAGAUCCGUUGAGGCUAAGACCAGUUGUCAGCCCAGCCGGGAGGGGGAAGCGAUCGCUGAAGCCAGCGAGGGCCCCCCCCUGAGUGGGACCUGAAUUUUUCUUGGAGGUUUCUGUAUGUUUUGUUAAGCGUGAGAGACGGCAAGAACAAACCCUGCCAGGAGCUGUCGGCCCCCGGGGGAAAGAGUUGUUUGUCUUGAUGCUCUGCUGAAGUUCUGCAGCGAUGACUAAAACUCAAAUCACCAUGGGGUGGUGUAGCGAGACCUCGCUGGGCUGGAGGACGCUGCCAGCACAGCACCCCCUCAGAGGCAUAAUAAAACCGUCUUUUUUAAUUAUUAUUUUUGCAAGACACGCUGACUGAAGUCGGUCAGCUUGUCCAUGAUAUCCUGAUGUCCUCUGGUCACUUUUGAAAAUGCCUCAUUUGUCUUCUGCACACCAAGGAAAUGGAGAACCCAGCUGUAGCCUGCUACAGAGAUUCCAGCUCUUGGGCUUUGGAGCACAUCUCCCAAAGGGCUGCUCUAACUUUACUCUGGAGAGUUGUGGAAGAAGUUGCGUGGCCAAAAGGAGAGCAAGCGAAAAGAGCCAGCUGACCACAUGGUGGCAACAUGGAGAUGCUACGUAAGGAUUGCCUGGACCUGUGUUACCCCUGGAGGAAAAGUUACUUGUACAGAGAGACCUGAAGUGAUUUCAUAGCUUAAAAGAAGACGGUGACGGUGUGAACCCUCUCUGGCUGGUUCUGUUUUCAUGCAAGACUUUCUUUUCCAGAAGAAGGUG
Aquila chrysaetos chrysaetos is the source of this 2306-nucleotide long non-coding RNA. RefSeq lists it as uncharacterized. Lineage: Eukaryota; Metazoa; Chordata; Aves; Accipitriformes; Accipitridae. The record is from RefSeq and is a predicted model, not a curated record. The transcript is spliced from 3 exons.